GAUGAACGCUAGCGGCAGGCUUAACACAUGCAAGUCGAGGGGUAUGCCGAUUUAUCGGCAGAGACCGGCGCACGGGUGCGUAACGCGUAUGCAAUCUACCUUUCACAGAGGAUAGCCCAGAGAAAUUUGGAUUAAUACCUCAUAGUAUAGCGGUUUCGCAUGAAACCACUAUUAAAGUUCCAACGGUGAAGAUGAGCAUGCGUCCCAUUAGCUAGAUGGUAAGGUAACGGCUUACCAUGGCUACGAUGGGUAGGGGUCCUGAGAGGGAGAUCCCCCACACUGGUACUGAGACACGGACCAGACUCCUACGGGAGGCAGCAGUGAGGAAUAUUGGUCAAUGGACGCAAGUCUGAACCAGCCAUGCCGCGUGCAGGAUGACGGUCCUAUGGAUUGUAAACUGCUUUUGUACGAGAAGAAACACAUUACGUGUAAUGUCUUGACGGUAUACGUAAGAAUAAGGAUCGG
This 465-nucleotide ribosomal RNA is filed under the name uncultured bacterium. RNAcentral describes it as "bacterial SSU rRNA". It matches the Rfam family "Bacterial small subunit ribosomal RNA", at positions 28 to 496 of the family's 1533-position model. The record is from RNAcentral.